UGGAAAUUUCAUUUACGAUAAUAUUUUUGUGCAAAAAUUUUAGUUUUGUUCGCCAAACACUUCAAAAAAAAAACUUUAUCACCAAAACACUUAGCCAAAAAAAAAAAUUCUUUCUCCUCCCCUCCAAACCAAAUGUAUCGGUCAAACCCAUAUCGAAAGUUGAUCUCUUUCUGAAAAAAAAAAAGAUGAAACCCAAAUAAUCUUAUGUUCCUCUGCUCAUCUCGCUUUGGUCUUGAAUCAGUGAUGGGAGAUAAAGUCGACGACUUUGGUGUUUGCGUCGCCGGAAGCUCUGGAAUCCGGAGAUUGGGUUGAAUUCGGAGAAGAGUCGGAUAAAGAUCUAUCCAGAUUCAAUUGACUUCCUCAAAUUCUCAUUUUCGAUCUCUAAUCUCGAUUGAAGCUUCACCACCACACUCAGUUUGACACCGUAGCUCGUUACCACCAUCACCACCACCACCACCAUCUCACGUCAAAUUUUAAUGUGCUGCUCAGUUCGUCGCGAAUCUGGCCAAUAGUUAACCGACGCAGAAUCACUCUCUACCAAUUCUUCUCUCGUCAAUCGCAGCGAAGAAGAAGAAGAAAAGACCCUAAAUCGUAUUUAGGAGCUCCAUCAAUGGCGUUGAUGCUGGCUCGCAGGUGACUAAUUACUCUUUGUGCUCACCAUUGCGUAUGAAUCUCGUUUGCUCCUGUUUUUGGAAUCAAGGAUCACUCUCUGUCUCUUCGGGAUUGUGUCUGUAAUUGUAACUGUCCAUUUGAUGCUCAUUUGACAAGGCUCUAGAGAGUGUAGAUGAAACUCUCGUGUCUCGUGUCUCGACUAGUAGUAAGAGUGUGUGUAGCAGCUUGAGCAAUGGAGAUAAGCAUGUGCCUCGGGGAACGGUUGUUGUGUGAGCAAAAGGGCCAAGAGUAUGUUUUCAGACCACAUUGUGUUUGCGUUUGUAGGAUUUUAUGUCUGAGGAUGUUACCUUUUGUGGUGUAUUUGAUGGUCCUUUUGGUCAUCUUGUUGCUUGAGUGAGAUAUACAUUGCCUCUGAAGUUGGAGUCUUUCCUUCAUGUCUGAGAUACAUUGUAACAUUAACAAGAUGCUUGUGUAUGGAAAUGAAGAUGAUUUUGGAGACAGCAAUGAUGAUGAUGUUGAUCGAUGGCUUACCCAGACAAGAUUUUAAGAGUUGGCAAGAGUUAUGUUGGUAGUAUAAGACUUAAGUGUAAGACAGGAAAAGUUUCUACUUAAAAUAUAUGUUUUAUAAAUUUAUUGAUAAAUUUUUGUAAGGCAACUGUAAAAUGAAGAAGUAAACGAAAUGUUAAAACCAAAUAUUGUUUUUUAAA
Raphanus sativus (radish) is the source of this 1319-nucleotide long non-coding RNA. RefSeq lists it as uncharacterized. The record is from RefSeq and is a predicted model, not a curated record. Lineage: Eukaryota; Viridiplantae; Streptophyta; Magnoliopsida; Brassicales; Brassicaceae. The transcript has 2 exons.